CAAUACAGAUAUCAAGGAGCUAUGAUGAUGAUGAUGAAGAUUGUGGCAGUAUUUCUACUCGUGGCUGGAUUCAAUGCUCAAUCACAAACACCACCAUGUGUUAAUAAAUUUGACACUAUGAAUGGUUUUGAAAACAUGUGUAAUAUACAUACUACACUUGGGCAAGGAAACUGCCUAGGAGCAAAAGAAGAAACACUUAGAGAAAAUUGCGCUAAAGCUUGCGGUUUCUGCUAUUAGCUAACUGGGUGCUAAGUGCAGAUACCUCUAAUGAUGACGUGAUCACGUUAUACUUGCUCUAACAUGCAGUAGCGCGGGACCGCAGUACGCGUAGACACAUGUGUGAUCACGUGAUACCUGAUGGGUGGAGGUUACGAGGACAAUUAUUCAUUGUUAUCUUAAUCAAUGGGCACAAUAAGUUGAUUUCUGUAAUCAUAGCUUACAAUCUUAUAAUGUGUUUAAAACGAUUCCGUAUUACUAUACUAUUCUUCUAAACUGUAACAAUUUUCCUGUAUUUGAUGCUUUUAGCAUUUGAAUUUAA
Bolinopsis microptera is the source of this 538-nucleotide long non-coding RNA. RefSeq lists it as uncharacterized. NCBI's taxonomy places the organism in Eukaryota, Metazoa, Ctenophora, Tentaculata, Lobata, Bolinopsidae. The record is from RefSeq and is a predicted model, not a curated record. The transcript has 2 exons.